AAUCAGCACAUGUCCGCCAGUUGAUUUCUCCGCUACCCAUUUCCCCAUUCACGCCCCAACAACAGGCAGCUUCACAAAGAAGAAUAAAGUAGGCAGCCACAACAAUGCAGGAACAUCAUCCAAAGACACCAAAGGACAUCACAUCAAUGGAGGAACUCUUUGAUCGGCUCUGCUUUGGAAACUCUAUUUUCUUGACAGAUCAUAUAAGAUACUACCUAACAGACAAGAUCUUGAGGAUACACCAUUCAGAUAAACUGUAUCUAUUCACAAUGAAUGCAACUACU
This is a long non-coding RNA of Oryza brachyantha (malo sina), 284 nucleotides long. RefSeq lists it as uncharacterized. NCBI's taxonomy places the organism in Eukaryota, Viridiplantae, Streptophyta, Magnoliopsida, Poales, Poaceae. The transcript has 3 exons. The record is from RefSeq and is a predicted model, not a curated record.